Molecule: ribosomal RNA, 253 nt
Filed under: uncultured bacterium
Lineage: Bacteria
Description: partial 16S ribosomal RNA
Rfam family: Bacterial small subunit ribosomal RNA
Source: RNAcentral
GACAGAGGGUGCAAACGUUGUUCGGAAUUACUGGGCGUAAAGCGAGUGUAGGCGGUUCGAAAAGUCGGGUGUGAAAGCCCUGGGCUCAACCCAGGAAGUGCACUCGAAACUCUCGAGCUAGAGUAUCGGAGAGGUUGGUGGAAUUCUCGGUGUAGAGGUGAAAUUCGUAGAUAUCGAGAGGAACACCGGUGGCGAAGGCGGCCAACUGGACGAAUACUGACGCUGAGACUCGAAAGCGUGGGGAGCGAACAGG